UCCUCAGUAGCUCAGUGGUAGAGCGGUCGGCUGUUAACUAACUAGUCGUAGGUUCGAAUCCUACUUGGGGAG
RNAcentral lists this transfer RNA (72 nucleotides) under Zea mays. Its description in RNAcentral is "tRNA-Asn (GTT) (tRNA-Asn-GTT-9-1)". It matches the Rfam family "tRNA". Rfam says of the family: Transfer RNA (tRNA) molecules are approximately 80 nucleotides in length. Their secondary structure includes four short double-helical elements and three loops (D, anti-codon, and T loops). The record is from Rfam by way of RNAcentral. Lineage: Eukaryota; Viridiplantae; Streptophyta; Magnoliopsida; Poales; Poaceae.